This is a long non-coding RNA of Bubalus bubalis (water buffalo), 898 nucleotides long. RefSeq lists it as uncharacterized. NCBI's taxonomy places the organism in Eukaryota, Metazoa, Chordata, Mammalia, Artiodactyla, Bovidae. The record is from RefSeq and is a predicted model, not a curated record. The transcript is spliced from 3 exons.
CUACUGAGUGUCAGCUGUUGGACCAGAAUAAAUUCUCUCCCUCUACACUUUGAGAAUGUGUGGCUUGUAUGCAUGAUCUCAGGAAAUACUUACAAAUGAUGAUCAGAUCAGACCAGCACACUACUCUGCAGUGGGAACAAUCAUGGGAAGAGCAAUAAUAGCUCCCUCAUCUUUGAUACUCUAGAUCUGUGUUAUACAGUGUGAUAGCCAUUCACCAGAAGUAACUGUUCACAGUUGUCUAAUUCAAUCAGUAAUUAACUCACUCUAUUCAUAUAAAACACGAAACUCAUCCAAUUGCUCAGUCCCACUAGGCACAUUUCAAGUUUGUUCAUACAGUUGGAAUUCCAGGUUUGUAAAUUUAGAGGGAAGAGCUCUCAUGGGUCUGCAGAAGUGAGAAGUUUCGAGGUGCAUCUUCAGAAUCUUUCUCUCAUGUGGACUUUUCAACUGUGAGCAAUGUCUUGUCGAGUGGUCUGACUCCAUGAAACAUAAGGAGGACCUGAGAACCUGGAGGGAAAAAUCAGAGCGAUGCUCUGAGACCCACAAUAACUUCAAGUAAAGUAGGAGAAACGGGUUGGUCACAGUUUCUAACAACUUUGUCACUCAUGUUUGUGUUUCUACAGACCAGAUGCUGGAGAGCACAUGGAGCAGCCAGGAUGAAGAUGCUACAGAUGUCAAGAUAUUCUCUCCUUCUCCUCUUAAGAGAAGCUCUUGGGUCUGCAGUCAGCGAAGAAGAGGACAGGGAGGAGGAGACAUAAAUAUGGAGGGUGGGGAUGAAAGGUCCUGCCCUUACACCUGUGAAGGCCUUGACCUGGGGGCCUCAGCCUGGGCCUCAGAGGGGAAGGAAGCAGAACAGAGUCAGGAGGUUUCCAACUGGACAAGGAACAGGGUCGGCCUCACU